This 3097-nucleotide long non-coding RNA is filed under the name Calidris pugnax (ruff). RNAcentral's name for it is "lncRNA (ENSCPUG00000008200.1)". Lineage: Eukaryota; Metazoa; Chordata; Aves; Charadriiformes; Scolopacidae. The record is from RNAcentral.
CCCGCCCCGCCCGGCACCGAGGGGGGGGGAACCGGAAACCAGGGGGCGACCGACCCCCCCAGGGGGGCUACCGGGGCGGGGGCGGGGCCCGACGGCAAGGCCGUGACGUCAGCGACCCCCCCGAUGACAUCAUCCGCCUCCCCGAUGACAUCAUCGACCCCCCCGAUGACAUCAUCAACAACGACGGCGACGACAACGUCAACGAUGACGUCGACGAUGACGUCAGCGCCCCCCGUGACGUCACCGAAGGCGUCGACGGCGGUGACAUCAUCAGGGCCCGCGGGGGCGUCGCCCGUGACGUCAUCGAAGACGCCAGUGACGUCAUCGGCGCCGUCUACGACGUCAUCGGCGCCGUCCAAGGCCGCGGUGACCUCAGCGGGGUCAUCAGUGACAUCAUCGGUGACGUCGAAGCCCUCGGUGACGUCACCAGGGCCGGCGGUGACAUCAGCGGCGUCGAAGGCAGCAGUGACAUCACCAGGGGCGGCGGUGACGUCAUCGAUGACAUCAGCAGCAGCGUCCAAGGCGGCGGUGACCUCAUCGGGGCCGGCGAUGACAUCAGCAGCGACGUCAAAGCCCGCAGUGACCUCAGCAGGGCCGUCAGUGACGUCAUUGAUGACAUCAGCAGCGGCGUCAAAGACCUCAGCGGGGCCGCCGAUGACGUCAUCAGUGACGUCAAAGCCCUCGGUGACCUCAUCGGGGCCGGCGGUGACAUCAUCGGUGACAUCACCCGGGACGUCACCAUCCGUGACGUCAUCCCUGACAUCAUCCGUGACGUCAACCUCAUCGAUGACAUCAUCGGUGACGUCAUCACCCGCAGCCACGCCCUCGAAGCCGCCGGCCCCGCCCUCCCCCGUCACAUCNNNNNNNNNNNNNNNNNNNNNNNNNNNNNNNNNNNNNNNNNNNNNNNGCCCCUCCCCUGUGGCCACCAACCUCACCAAGGCCCCCCCGGCCACCCCGGGGGCCACCAAGGUCGCUGUGGCUACCGGCGGCGCCCCCCGGGCUACUAACGUCACCCCUGUGGCUACUAACGUCACCCCCAAGGCCACCGUGGACGGCGGCGCCCCCGUGGCCACCAGCGGCGCCCCCGUGGCCACUAAUGUCACCCCCAAGGCCACCGCUGUCGCUGGCACCCCGGGGGCCACCAACGUCACCCCGGGGGCCACCAACGUCUCCGUGGCCACCAACGUCUCCAUGGGGGCCACCAACGUCUCCGUGGCCACCAACGCCACCCCGGGGGCCACCAACGUCUCCGUGGCCACCGUUGUCACCCCGGGGGCCACCAACGUCUCCGUGGGGGCUACUAACUCCACCGUGGCCACCGUUGUCACCCCAGGGGCCACCAAAGCCACCGUGGCCACCAACGCCACCCUGGGGGCCACCAACGCCACCGUGGCCACCACCCUCACCCCAGUGGCCACCAAAGCCACCGCAGGGGUCGCCGUGGACUCUGUCACCCCAGUGGCCACCAAAGCCACCCCGGGGGCCACUGUUGUCACCCCCGGGGCCACCAAAGCCCCCGUGGGGGCCACCACGCUUGUCACCCCCGUGGCCACCAAGGUCACCGUGGACUCUGGGCCCUCGGGGGCCACCGUAGGGGCCACUAAGGCCCCCGUGGCCACCAACGUCACCCCCGUGGCCACCAACAUCGUCCCCAAGGCCGCCGUGGAUUCUGUCACCCCCGGGGCCACCAAAGCCAUCGGAGGGGCCACCGUGGCCACCAUCAGCACCCCAGGGGCCACCGUGGCCACCGUCGUCACCCCAGGGGCCACCAAGCCCCCCGUGGCCACCAACCUCACCCCGGGGGCCAUCACUGCUGCCAUGGGGGCCACCAAGGCCAGCGUGGCCACCAACGUCACCCCCAAGGCCAGCGUGGCCACCAUCCCCCCUGCGGUGGCCACCGCUGUGACUGGUCCCAGGGAUGGCCCCAGGGCUACCAACGCCACCCCCGUGGCCACCAGUGUCCCCUCCGUGGCCACCAGCGCUCCCAAGGCCACCCCUGCAGCCACCGUGGCCACCAGCGUCACCCCAGUGGCCACCAGCGUCGCCGUCGCUCCCAAGGCCACCAACGUCCCCACCGUGGCCACCAGUUUGACCAGUGGCCCCAGGGCCACCAACCUCUCUGCGGUGGCCACCAGCGUCCCCACCGUGGCCACCAGUGUCACCAGUAUCAACGCUGGAGCUACCGGUGCCACCUCCGUGGCCACCAACGUCCCCGCUGUGGCCACCAACCUCCCUGCUGUGGCCACCACCGUCCGCGCUGUGGCCACCAGUGUCCCCUCCGUGGCCACCAGCGUUAAGGCCACCGCUCCGGCCGGUGUCACCGUCACCCCCGUGGCCACCAGUGUCCCCUCCGUGGCCACCAGCGCUCCCAAGGCCACCCCUGCAGCCACCGUGGCCACCAGCGUCACCCCAGUGGCCACCAGCGUCGCCGUCGCUCCCAAGGCCACCAACGUCCCCACCGUGGCCACCAGUUUGACCAGUGGCCCCAGGGCCACCAACCUCUCUGCGGUGGCCACCAGCGUCCCCACCGUGGCCACCAGUGUCACCAGUAUCAACGCUGGAGCUACCGGUGCCACCUCCGUGGCCACCAACGUCCCCGCUGUGGCCACCAACCUCCCUGCUGUGGCCACCACCGUCCGCGCUGUGGCCACCAGUGUCACCAGUAUCAACGCUGGAGCUACUGGGGCCACCGCCGUGGCCACCAACGUCCCCAAUGUGGCCACCAGUAUGACCAGUGUCAAUGCUGGAGCUACUGGUGCCACCCCCGUGGCCACCAACGUCUCUGAUGUGGCCACCAACGUCCCCAAAGUGGCCACCAACGUCUCUGCUGUGGCCACCAGUAUGACCAGUAUCAACUCUGGAGCCACCCCCGUGGCCACCAACGUCUCUGAUGUGGCCACCAACGUCCCCAAAGUGGCCACCAACGACCCCAAAGUGGCCACCACCGUCUCCGAUGUGGCCACCACCGUCCCCAAAGUGGCCACCAGUGUCCCCAGUAUCAACUCUGGAGCUACUGGGGCCACCCCCGCCCCCUCCGUGGCCAGUGACGUCGCCCCCGUGGCCACCGGCCCCGCCCCGGCCCCGCCCCCUAAAGGCG